Long non-coding RNA from Lathyrus oleraceus (garden pea), 1008 nucleotides. RefSeq lists it as uncharacterized. The transcript has 2 exons. The record is from RefSeq and is a predicted model, not a curated record. NCBI's taxonomy places the organism in Eukaryota, Viridiplantae, Streptophyta, Magnoliopsida, Fabales, Fabaceae.
UGGUGGACAGGUGUGAAACAAGAGAAAAUCCCCUGGGCCUGGGAAUUUCAGAGUUUGUGAUCGUGUGCGUUGUUGUUGAUGCUACUUUGUGUGAGUGGAGGAUCUGGAGAGUGAGAGAGUUCGAUGAACGAAAGGUGGAUUUGUGCAGUGAAUCAAAAAAUGUGAUUUGCAGGAAGUGAAUGAGAGUCAGAGAGAAACUGAGAUAAAAAAAUCAGAGAGUUUUGAGAGUGAGAAAAAAAUUGUAGAAUGAAAAAUGCUCCUGAAGAUUGCAGGGAAUGUUGAAUAUAUAGGUUUCAUAGUUAGUUAGAAAUUCAGCUCAAAUUUGAUCUGAAAUUCACUACAAAUUAAUUAGUUUGUUAGAAAUGAAAAUUGUCAGUUAGAAAUUUGUUAGGAAAUUCAAAUUCAAUUUGGUGAAUUACAAGUGAAUUUGGUUUCAAUUUCCUUUUCAUUUCGUUUUGGUAUGUGGAGAUUCAAACUGUUGUUAAUUCUAUUAAUUAUAGUGAAGUUAUUCUGAUGUUUUUGUUCAAAAAUGCAAGAUGGUGGAAUGUCGCCCAACAAAAGUCGAACCAAAGGGAUAAGCUUGAAUUAAAUCUGUCAUUGUAUUUUUUUGAAGGUUGAUAUUCAUACAGAAGAUGAUCUAUCUCCUUCACAGGGCUGCAUUCCAUGUCGCCAAAAGUUUCUUGAUAUGCAAGACCUAUUUCAAGGGCUGUCAAAUGGAAAGGCUUGUGAAUUUUGCUUGCAUUUGGAAAUUUGUAUUGAAGAGUGGAAUUGGCUUGUUGAAGGUUGCUUGAAUGCAUUGUUUAUGGACAAUGGAUUGCUUGGAAUUUUGGUUUUUUUUGUUGUAAAUCUUGUGAUAAAUUGUGUGUUGUAAUGUGAUUGGAAUUGAAUAAUGGGAAUGUUUAUGGUUGAGUGACAAAUGGUUAUGUAAAGCAAAUAGAAAUUGUCUUGUAACAUGUAUGGUUGAAUGUACCAUGGUAUUUGUUUGAAUGGAAAUUGAAUGGUUGAUGA